AGUGAACGCUGGCGGUAGGCCUAACACAUGCAAGUCGAACGGCAGCACAGUAAGAGCUUGCUCUUACGGGUGGCGAGUGGCGGACGGGUGAGGAAUACAUCGGAAUCUACUUUUUCGUGGGGGAUAACGUAGGGAAACUUACGCUAAUACCGCAUACGACCUACGGGUGAAAGCAGGGGAUCUUCGGACCUUGCGCGAUUGAAUGAGCCGAUGUCGGAUUAGCUAGUUGGCGGGUUAAAGGCCCACCAAGGCGACGAUCCGUAGCUGGUCUGAGAGGAUGAGCGGCCACACUGGAACUGGGACAGGGAUCAGUCUACUAACGGAAGCAGCAGUGGGGAAUAGUGGGCGAUGGGCGCAAGCCUGAUACAGCCAUACCGCGUGGGUGCAGAAGGCCGUCGGGUUGUAAAGCCCUUUUGUUGGGACAGAAAAGCAGGCGGUUAAUACCCAGCUGUUCUGACGGUACCGAAAGAAUAAGCAGCGUCUAACGUCG
RNAcentral lists this ribosomal RNA (490 nucleotides) under uncultured bacterium. RNAcentral describes it as "partial 16S ribosomal RNA". It matches the Rfam family "Bacterial small subunit ribosomal RNA", at positions 29 to 505 of the family's 1533-position model. The record is from RNAcentral.